RNAcentral lists this ribosomal RNA (502 nucleotides) under uncultured bacterium. RNAcentral describes it as "partial 16S ribosomal RNA". It matches the Rfam family "Bacterial small subunit ribosomal RNA", at positions 29 to 523 of the family's 1533-position model. The record is from RNAcentral.
AUUGAACGCUGGCGGCAUGCUUUACACAUGCAAGUCGAACGGCAGCACGGGUGCUUGCACCUGGUGGCGAGUGGCGAACGGGUGAGUAAUGUAUCGGAACGUACCCGGCAAUGGGGGAUAACGUAGCGAAAGUUACGCUAAUACCGCAUAUGCCCUGAGGGGGAAAGUGGGGGAUCGCAAGACCUCACGUUGUCGGAGCGGCCGAUAUCAGAUUAGCUAGUUGGUGGGGUAAAGGCCUACCAAGGCGACGAUCUGUAGCUGGCCUGAGAGGACGACCAGCCACACUGGGACUGAGACACGGCCCAGACUCCGACGGGAGGCAGCAGUGGGGAAUUUUGGACGAUGGGGGCAACCCUGAUCCAGCCAUGCCGCGUGAGUGAAGAAGGCCUUCGGGUUGUAAAGCUCUUUCGGACAGAAAGAAAUCGCCACUUCUAAUAAAGGUGGUGGAUGACGGUACUGUAAGAAGAAGCACCGGCUAACUACGUGCCAGCCGCCGCCGUAA